GGAGGCAGAGAGGAGUGUGCACAACCUGAACAUAGACACCGAUGGUAUUACCUCUCUUUCUCCUGCCUCCUCCUCUCCCUCAUUUCUCUCGUCCUUGUGGCAGGGAUUGACAGGGUGGCUGAGGAGGCUGCCCAAGAUGCUGAGGAUGGAGUCUCUGCUGGGGGCUUUCGUUGGCCUGUUUGUAGGUGGGCCCGUUGGGCGGAUGCUGGGGGCCACUGUGGGCUCAGUAGCAACUGAAGUGGGGAGAAGGAAGACCCUGAAGACAGAAAAAAACAAAUAAUUGCAAUGGGAUACAUAUCUCCAGUUAUUAACAUUAAAGGGACAUUUCACAAUUUUAGUUUCCCUUUGUUAUUUCACUGCACUUAUAUUUUAUUGUGCAAUUGGCUUGUAUUUGACCAACCUACAGUCCUCACAAUACUUCUUAUAAUAUUUGUUGUUUCACUGCUGGCAUGCCUAUUUUGACUGGUCAUAUUUUCAAAACCAAUUAUUAUAGAAGGUAUGGUAGGGUUAACUAAAAACGUCAAAUAAAGGGGAACAUACAUACAUGAUCCACUUGGUGGAGACGUUGACCAACACAUUGAAGUUGAACAUUAAAUAUUUGAGCUCAACUGAAAACAGACCUUACUGCUGAAGGAAAUAUAAUGCCAUUUCUAAGGCAGUUUGUUGUGUCCUGUUUAUGUCACACAGUUGAUACUUUUAAAGCAUACAAUUACACAUUUCCCUCAGACUGAAUUUAGUCAUUUAUUGGCCAACAUUUUCAAGCACUAUAUUUAGUAGUUGAGUAUAGGCUACAUCUCGAAAAUAAGACUUUCACAUGAUGCAUGAGAGAUAACGGAGGCCUCCGUUAUAGACGGACCAUCUGCAGCAGUGUGUGUUAGCUGAGGACAAUUGCUGGAGCGUAUAGAGGGCGUUAAUAAUAGUGGUGAGGAGUCCUAAGUGAAAGUGCCUCUGACUUUGGAAAACACUGAAGCACUGCUCUCAAAGCUUCCUCUUUUUUCUUUAUGCAAAACGGUAGGUUACGGGUUUGACAUUGAUGUAAUUGAUACUCUGUUAAAACCAUCAGUCAAACCCAUCUUUACAUCUCUCUCUUUAAGUUUCUCUCCCUCUCUCUCUAAGCUGACAGAGACCCUGCCUGUGGAACAGCUAGGCGUUUCCGAAUGUGGGUGGUCCGCCGGGGGAGGGAGGGAGAGAAUUAGUCCAGCUCUCAUGUUUCCUGAGAAGAGAGGGAGGAAAGGAAUGAGAAAGAGAGUAGGGAGAGAGCAAGAAAGAGGAGAGUGAAUAUGUGUGUGCGAGAGAGAGAGAACAUGCUCAGGGAUUACAUCUGUCUUCCAGAUGUGGCCUCCACAGUUGUCUGAAACAGGAAAAAAAAGAAAGUUUAAAAGUAAAGGAAAAUUGGUGCUAAACAGUUUUUUAUUGUUAAGGAUUACGCAUACAGUACAGUGCGGACUACAGUAUGGCGGUCUACAGUGAACCAGGGUAUGAUGCCAGUUCAUUCCUUAUGAAACUGCAAUGAAAUGACGUGGUGCACCCGUCCAGUAGACCCCUUAAAGAUAAUGCAUACAAAAAAGAACACCUGUCCAAAUAUUGUUCUGUCUUAUUGGAUAAGCAUCAGUGAGAGGACAGUGAGUAAUGAUAGAGGGAGAUAAGA
Long non-coding RNA from Oncorhynchus tshawytscha (Chinook salmon), 1648 nucleotides. NCBI's taxonomy places the organism in Eukaryota, Metazoa, Chordata, Actinopteri, Salmoniformes, Salmonidae. The record is from Ensembl.